GCCAUACAGGUAGGCGAGGAGGGAAUCCUAAGGUGAUCGAGAGAACUCUCGUUAAGGAACUCGGCAAAAUGACCCCGUAACUUCGGGAGAAGGGGUGCUCUGUUAGGGUGCAAGCCCGAGAGAGCCGCAGUGAAUAGGCCCAGGCGACUGUUUAGCAAAAACACAGGUCUCUGCGAAGCCGUAAGGCGAAGUAUAGGGGCUGACGCCUGCCCGGUGCUGGAAGGUUAAGAGGAGCGCUUAGCGUAAGCGAAGGUGCGAAUUGAAGCCCCAGUAAACGGCGGCCGUAACGAUAACGGUCCUAAGGUAGCGAAAUUCCUUGUCGGGUAAGUUCCGACCCGCACGAAAGGCGCAACGAUCUGGGCACUGUCUCAACGAGAGACUCGGUGAAAUUAUAGUACCUGUGAAGAUGCAGGUUACCCGCGACAGGACGGAAAGACCCCGUGGAGCCUUACUGCAGCCUGAUAUUGAAUGUUGGUACAGCUUGUACAGGAUAGGUAGGAGCCUUGGAAACCGGAGCGCCAGCUUCGGUGGAGGCAUCGGUGGGAUACUACCCUGGCUGUAUUGACCUUCUAACCCGCCGCCCUUAUCGGGCGGGGAGACAGUGUCAGGUGGGCAGUUUGACUGGGGCGGUCGCCUCCUAAAAGGUAACGGAGGCGCCCAAAGGUUCCCUCAGAAUGGUUGGAAGUCAUUCGCAGAGUGUAAAGGCACAAGGGAGCUUGACUGCGAGACCUACAAGUCGAGCAGGGACGAAAGUCGGGCUUAGUGAUCCGGUGGUUCCGCAUGGAAGGGCCAUCGCUCAACGGAUAAAAGCUACCCCGGGGAUAACAGGCUUAUCUCCCCCAAGAGUCCACAUCGACGGGGAGGUUUGGCACCUCGAUGUCGGCUCAUCGCAUCCUGGGGCUGUAGUCGGUCCCAAGGGUUGGGCUGUUCGCCCAUUAAAGCGGUACGCGAGCUGGGUUCAGAACGUCGUGAGACAGUUCGGUCCCUAUCCGUCGCGGGCGCAGGAAAUUUGAGAGGAGCUGCCCUUAGUACGAGAGGACCGGGAUGGACGCACCGCUGGUGUACCCGUUGUUCUGCCAAGGGCAUCGCUGGGUAGCUAUGUGCGGACGGGAUAAGUGCUGAAAGCAUCUAAGCAUGAAGCCCCCCUCAAGAUGAGAUUUCCCAUUCCGCAAGGAAGUAAGAUCCCUGAAAGAUGAUCAGGUUGAUAGGUCUGAGGUGGAAGUGUGGCGACACAUGGAGCUGACAGAUACUAAUCGAUCGAGGACUUAACC
This 1271-nucleotide ribosomal RNA is filed under the name metagenome. RNAcentral describes it as "bacterial LSU rRNA". It matches the Rfam family "Bacterial large subunit ribosomal RNA", at positions 1649 to 2925 of the family's 2925-position model. The record is from RNAcentral.